Molecule: ribosomal RNA, 494 nt
Filed under: uncultured bacterium
Lineage: Bacteria
Description: partial 16S ribosomal RNA
Rfam family: Bacterial small subunit ribosomal RNA
Source: RNAcentral
GACGAACGCUGGCGGCGUGCUUAACACAUGCAAGUCGAACGGAAAGGCCUGCUUUCCCUUGUGGAUUGCGGGCACUCGAGUGGCGAACGGGUGAGUAACACGUGAGUGAUCUGCCCCCAACUUGGGUAUAAGCCUGGGAUACUGGGUCUAAUUCGCGAUAGGACUGCAGGGUGGUUCCUGUCGUGGAAAACGAUAUUCUAGUGGUUGGGGAUGAGCUCGCGGCCUAUGGGCGUGGUGGUGGGGUAAUGGUCUACCAAGGCGGGGACGGGUAGCCGGCGCGAGAGCGUGGACGGCGACAUUGGGACAGGGACACGGCCCAGACUCCUGGGGGAAGUGGCAGAUGGGAGAAUUGGACCAUAAGCGUGAGCCAGAUGCAGCGACGCUGCGUAGAAGAUGACGGCCUUCGGGUGGUAAACUCGUUGCGAGCGCGAGGAAGAAGUCUGGUUGGAAGGGUGGUGACGGUAGUGGUAGAAGAAGCACCGGCUAACUACGUG